This 364-nucleotide unclassified non-coding RNA is filed under the name fungal sp. RNAcentral's name for it is "partial internal transcribed spacer region". The stretch from base 1 to 46 matches the Rfam family "Eukaryotic small subunit ribosomal RNA", at positions 1786 to 1831 of the family's 1831-position model. Lineage: Eukaryota; Fungi. The record is from RNAcentral.
AAGUCGUAACAAGGUUUCCGUAGGUGAACCUGCGGAAGGAUCAUUAACACGUAUCCAACGUUAAACAACUCUGUGAACCUUCACCCCUGCUCUCCUUGUAUUUCGGUACUUGGAUUUGAUGCGGUCGAAGCAAUUAGACUCGCCUCUGUAGUCAGUGGGUGAAAGUGCCACUGGUUACUUAAGCGGAGUACUGCACCCGGACUAACCGGGGUGGGAUCAUCGAGUGUCCUCACGGCCGAUGAACAAGUCUCUGAGCGCAAGCUCCAAUAUUAACCCCGUCUUUAAUCUUUAGGGAGCUGGUCGCUUCGGCGCCUCCCCUGUCGUGAAAGCUGAACAACUGUUAACAAUGGAUAUCUUGGUUCUC